AACGCGAAGAACCUUACCCAGGCUUGAACUGCGAGUGACCAGCGAUGAAAGUCGCCUUCCGCAAGGACACUCGUAGAGGUGCUGCAUGGCUGUCGUCAGCUCGUGUCGUGAGAUGUUGGGUUAAGUCCCGCAACGAGCGCAACCCUUGUCCUCUGUUGCCAUCACGUAAUGGUGGGCACUCUGGGGAGACUGCCGGUGAUAAACCGGAGGAAGGUGGGGAUGACGUCAAGUCAGCAUGGCCUUUAUGUCCAGGGCUACACACGUGCUACAAUGGUCGGUACAAACCGUCGCAAACCCGUGAGGGGGAGCUAAUCGGAAAGAGCCGGCCUCAGUUCGGAUUGGAGUCUGCAACUCGACUCCAUGAAGCUGGAAUCGCUAGUAAUCGCGGAUCAGAACGCCGCGGUGAAUACGUUCCCGGGCCUUGUACACACCGAGUAUA
Molecule: ribosomal RNA, 439 nt
Filed under: uncultured bacterium
Lineage: Bacteria
Description: bacterial SSU rRNA
Rfam family: Bacterial small subunit ribosomal RNA
Source: RNAcentral